This 648-nucleotide ribosomal RNA is filed under the name Streptomyces sp. FXJ1.255. RNAcentral describes it as "bacterial SSU rRNA". It matches the Rfam family "Bacterial small subunit ribosomal RNA", at positions 56 to 721 of the family's 1533-position model. The record is from RNAcentral. Lineage: Bacteria; Bacillati; Actinomycetota; Actinomycetes; Kitasatosporales; Streptomycetaceae.
UGCAAGUCGAACGAUGAACCACUUCGGUGGGGAUUAGUGGCGAACGGGUGAGUAACACGUGGGUAAUCUGCCCUUCACUCUGGGACAAGCCCUGGAAACGGGGUCUAAUACCGGAUAUCACUUGCGCAGGCAUCUGUGCGGGUUGAAAGCUCCGGCGGUGAAGGAUGAGCCCGCGGCCUAUCAGCUUGUUGGUGAGGUAACGGCUCACCAAGGCGACGACGGGUAGCCGGCCUGAGAGGGCGACCGGCCACACUGGGACUGAGACACGGCCCAGACUCCUACGGGAGGCAGCAGUGGGGAAUAUUGCACAAUGGGCGCAAGCCUGAUGCAGCGACGCCGCGUGAGGGAUGACGGCCUUCGGGUUGUAAACCUCUUUCAGCAGGGAAGAAGCGCAAGUGACGGUACCUGCAGAAGAAGCGCCGGCUAACUACGUGCCAGCAGCCGCGGUAAUACGUAGGGCGCAAGCGUUGUCCGGAAUUAUUGGGCGUAAAGAGCUCGUAGGCGGCUUGUCACGUCGGGUGUGAAAGCCCGGGGCUUAACCCCGGGUCUGCAUUCGAUACGGGCAGGCUAGAGUGUGGUAGGGGAGAUCGGAAUUCCUGGUGUAGCGGUGAAAUGCGCAGAUAUCAGGAGGAACACCGGUGGCGAAGG